RNAcentral lists this long non-coding RNA (2969 nucleotides) under Mus musculus (house mouse). Its description in RNAcentral is "long non-coding RNA chr17:12964336-12967305". The record is from RNAcentral. Lineage: Eukaryota; Metazoa; Chordata; Mammalia; Rodentia; Muridae.
UUUUUUUUUUUUUUUUAAAGAUUUAUUUAUUAUAUGUAAGCACACUGUAGUUGUCUUCAGACACUCCAGAAGAGGGCGUCAGAUCUUGUUACAGAUGGUUGUGAGCCACCAUGUGGUUGCUGGGAUUUGAACUCUGGACCUUCAGAAGUGCAGUUGGGUGCUCUUACUCACUGAGCCAUCUAACCAGCCCUGUUUUGCUUUUUCUAGAUAGUUUCUUUGUGUAGCCUUGGCAGUCCUAGAAUUUGCUCUGUAGACCAGGCUGGCUUAAACUCAGAAAUCCACUGGUCUCAGCCUCCCAAGCGCUGGGAUUAAAGGUGUGCGCCACCAUUGCCUGGCUGCUUGGUUUCUGAGACAGGAAUUAUGUAGUUAGUUCUGGCUGGUCUGGAACUAUGUAGACGAAACUGACUUCCAAAUUAUAGAUUCCCUGCCUCUGCUUCCUGAGUGUUGAGAUUAAAGGUGUGUCUCACUAUGCCCAGUUUUUUUUAAAGAUUUAUUUAUUAUUAUAUCUAAGUACACUGUAGCUGUCUUCAGAUGCACCAGAAGAGGGCAUCAGAUCUCAUUACGGAUGGUUGUGAGCCACCAUGUGGUUGCUGGGAUUUGAACUUCGGACCUUCCGAAGAGCAGUCGGUGCUCUUAACCACUGAACCAUCUCUCCAGCCCCCUAUGCCCAGUUUAUUUCUUGUGUAUGUGUGCAGCACACAUGUGCAGGGGCCUGUGGAGGCCAGAGAGGGCUUUGGGUCUCCUAAAAUUCAAAGUUAUAGAUUAUUGGAUGCCAAGAAUGGAACCAGAGUUCUCUGCAAAAGCAGUAACGUGCUUUCUCACUGCUGAACCAUCUCUCCAGCCCCUACAAUAGUUUCUUAAAUAACUCCUAUAUCUGUUAGACUGAGGGGAAAAAUGGAAAAAAAUAAUUUAGUGGUGCUACAAACUAUUUGUCCUUAAGGGGUCUUGCAGUCAUUCUGGGGUUGUUUCAUGACUAGUUACAGGAGUCCAACUGUCAGAAAAAUGCUGUUUGUUCAUGAAUUUUACUUUUACAAAAGGCCAUAUUAAACACAGUUGAAAGGACAAGCUCAUCUGUUGAAGUAUAUUUUUAAUAGGAAGCAUUUUUUACACAUGCUCACACUCGUCUUCUCAAUAGUAGCAUUCACUCUGAGAUAGUAGCUUCAGGUUGGCCUUGAUUUCUCAAUCCUGUUUCACCCUCUCAGUGUUUUGAUUAGACAACAUAAAACAGCUACCAUCACAACCAACUGUUCACUCACUGAACUGAGUAUAUGACAACUAGCCCACCUUUCAAUGCUAGACUUAAUGCUGCUUUCAAUUUCUUUUGUUCAUAAACUGUUUUUUGUUUUGCUUGCUUUCUCUUUUUUUUGGAUGGCCUGGGCUGUGACUAUGCUAAGCAGAGCCGUGCCAUCCUCAAAUUGCUUCCAAAGACUAUUUAAUCAAGCUUGUUGCCUUAGCCUGCCAUCAUUAACUAUAUACUUAAAAGCUUUUAUAACUUGCAUUUUAGAGUACAUUCUAGCUGUCUUAAGACACACCAAGAGUGCAUCGGAUCCCAUUACAGAUGGUUGUGAGCUACUAUGUGGUUGCUGGGAAUUGAACUGAGGACCUCUGGAAGAGCAGUCAGUGCUCUUAACUGCUGAGCAGCCUCUCCAGCCCUUAAUUUGCAUUUUUACUGCACAGCCGUCACGUUCAUUUCUCGCUCCAAUCUCUUAAGUAUUUGGCACAGCAACCUCAAACCCUGCUCAGGUUUGUUUCUUUUCUUCCUUUUAUUCAGAAGCACGAAGGGAGGCAGGAAAACAUUAAGGACUAAGCUCAGAAUCAUGGUUGGGUGACCUGCUAACGUAAGAGUGGAUGUUGUCAAGGGAGCUUAAAUGAUAGUCCUCUAAGUGUUAGCCCAGGUAUCAUUGCCACAUUUUGAGAACAAUGGCAAACUAAGGAUGAUAAUAAAUCCGGCAGAUGCAUGGGUGGGGAGAAGAGGAAGAGAGAAGGUGGGCAAAAAGGGAGUGGUGACAAAGAGAUGGCACAGCUGUUAAGGGUACUUGUUUCACAUGUCCAGACCCAUAGACCUCCUUACAAUACAUGCAAGGAUGCUGUUUCUGGAAAAAGCAUUAUUUGGCCAAUGCUUUAAAGCAAACAUCUUUGUACCUAUUCCCUGAAAUCAGAUCUGAAGAACAAACUGCUCUUCAACAAAAACCUAAAAUUUGGUUAGUUUUUUUAAAAAAUGAGAUCUUUACGUCAAGAGGGAAAAAAACCAAAACCAAAGUCCUUGAGCUGUAGUCAAACUCCCACUUCAUUCUGCAAAGAAAAGUGCAAAUUAAAAUUAGGUGGAUAGUCAGACUUAAUGCAUAGACUGUUUUAAUGUGAUCUUUGUAUAUACUACAGAGUAAGUAGCAAUUCAGCCAUUCAGUGAAAAGAAAGGACAAUUGCUAAACACACCCAAGACAAAAGGAAAAAACAAACAAGAGUCGUAAUAAAAAUGUUUAUUUAGGUUUGGUCAGUACAGGUGAGAUAUACUGGAGUCACAGGGCAAUAUGCAUUAACAGGACACAACAGUUCAUAAAAACUUAGUAACUAUGCACACAGAUUUCUUAACAUUCAGUCACCUAAAGAUGAAUGCACCUAAAGAUGUAUGGUGGAAAAACUUUAUCUAACGCUGAAACUACUAUAGGACUCCAAGUCCAACUUUUUAGUGAUAAAAACUACUAUACUGGGCAAACCUGGCAGUCCUAAACCCACAUCUACUCUAACAAGUCUGAAUGGUGCAUGAGUAACAACAGCGUGAGGAAGAGUGCCCUGACAGCACAAGUUCUAGAUAAGACAGAUUUAUACAGACAUCAUUGCUAUAGAUUCCCAUUUACAACUUCACAUUAACUCAUAUAAAAAUAACUUGACCCUACACAAAAUGUCCUUUUAGCAAUGUUCAAAGUAAUUAACUGUUACAAUUUUCAAAGUGGCAGAGGUAUUGAAGCAAU